CCUACGGGGGGCAGCAGUGAGGAAUAUUGGUCAAUGGGCGGGAGCCUGAACCAGCCAAGUCGCGUGAGGGAAGACGGUCCUAUGGAUUGUAAACCUCUUUUAUAAGGGAAGAAUAAAUGCUACGUGUAGCAUGAUGCCUGUACAUUAUGAAUAAGCAUCGGCUAACUCCGUGCCAGCAGCCGCGGUAAUACGGAGGAUGCGAGCGUUAUCCGGAUUUAUUGGGUUUAAAGGGUGCGUAGGCGGUUUUUUAAGUUAGUGGUUAAACGUCGGGGCUUCACCUUGCUUUGCCAUUAAUACUGUAAGAC
Molecule: ribosomal RNA, 305 nt
Filed under: uncultured bacterium
Lineage: Bacteria
Description: bacterial SSU rRNA
Rfam family: Bacterial small subunit ribosomal RNA
Source: RNAcentral